GCGAAAGUAGCUCAAUUGGUAGAGCGUCACCCUUCCAAGGUGAAUGUUGUGAGUUCGAUCCUCAUCUUUCGCU
Molecule: transfer RNA, 73 nt
Filed under: Candidatus Pelagibacterales bacterium
Lineage: Bacteria; Pseudomonadati; Pseudomonadota; Alphaproteobacteria; Candidatus Pelagibacterales
Description: tRNA-Gly
Rfam family: tRNA
About the family: Transfer RNA (tRNA) molecules are approximately 80 nucleotides in length. Their secondary structure includes four short double-helical elements and three loops (D, anti-codon, and T loops).
Source: RNAcentral